This is a small nucleolar RNA of Neltuma alba, 107 nucleotides long. The record is from RefSeq and is a predicted model, not a curated record. NCBI's taxonomy places the organism in Eukaryota, Viridiplantae, Streptophyta, Magnoliopsida, Fabales, Fabaceae.
AUUUGGUGAUGUGGGCAUUUGGCAAGGAAGGCUAUGAAUCUUGUCCAACAUUCAUAUAGGUUUUCUCCAAUCCCUUGUUGAACACUAUAGAUCUCUUUCCUUAUUCU